GAUGAACGCUGGCGGCGUGCCUAAUACAUGCAAGUCGAGCGAACGGACGAGAAGCUUGCUUCUCUGAUGUUAGCGGCGGACGGGUGAGUAACACGUGGAUAACCUACCUAUAAGACUGGGAUAACUUCGGGAAACCGGAGCUAAUACCGGAUAAUAUUUUGAACCGCAUGGUUCAAAAGUGAAAGACGGUUUUGCUGUUACUUAUAGAUGGAUCCGCGCUGCAUUAGCUAGUUGGUAAGGUAACGGCUUACCAAGGCAACGAUGCAUAGCCGACCUGAGAGGGUGAUCGGCCACACUGGAACUGAGACACGGUCCAGACUCCUACGGGAGGCAGCAGUAGGGAAUCUUCCGCAAUGGGCGAAAGCCUGACGGAGCAACGCCGCGUGAGUGAUGAAGGUCUUCGGAUCGUAAAACUCUGUUAUUAGGGAAGAACAUAUGUGUAAGUAACUGUGCACAUCUUGACGGUACCUAAUCAGAAAGCCACGGCUAACUACGUG
This 497-nucleotide ribosomal RNA is filed under the name uncultured bacterium. RNAcentral describes it as "partial 16S ribosomal RNA". It matches the Rfam family "Bacterial small subunit ribosomal RNA", at positions 28 to 507 of the family's 1533-position model. The record is from RNAcentral.